This 856-nucleotide unclassified non-coding RNA is filed under the name Hevea brasiliensis (rubber tree). Lineage: Eukaryota; Viridiplantae; Streptophyta; Magnoliopsida; Malpighiales; Euphorbiaceae. The record is from RNAcentral.
GGCAGUGUUGAAGAUACCGAGAGGGAGAGAGAUUGAUCAAAUAUGGCAACAUUUGCAGGGACAACCCAGAAGUGUAAGGCAUGUGAGAAGACUGUGUACUUGGUGGAUCAGCUUACUGCUGACAACAAAGUCUAUCACAAGGCUUGUUUCAGGUGCCACCACUGUAAGGGUACCCUUAAGCUGAGUAAUUACUCAUCCUUUGAAGGUGUUUUGUAUUGCAAGCCUCACUUUGAUCAACUAUUUAAGAUGACUGGAAGCUUGGAUAAAAGCUUUGAAGGCACUCCAAAAACCGUUAGAGUUGACAGAUCUGUCGAUCAGGUCCAUAGCAACAGCAAAGUUUCAAGCAUGUUUGCUGGAACGCAGGACAAAUGUGUUACUUGCAAGAAAACCGUUUAUCCACUUGAAAAGGUGGCAGUUGAUGGUUCAUCUUAUCACAAGGCCUGUUUCAGGUGCACCCAUGGAGGCUGUGUAAUCAGCCCAUCAAACUAUGAUGCCUACAAUAGAGACGAUGCUCGUAUCACAACCAACUCUUUAAGGAGAAGGGAAAUUUCAGCCAACUUGACAGGCAAGACCAGGUUAAACCAGUGACUGAGAAUGCAGCAGCAGAGUGAGAAUGUAAAUUUUUCACAAAUCUUGAAAUGUGUGAUACCUCAAGGAGUUUGAUGCAAUUGUCAAAGCAUGCUAGAACGUUUAUCGCUAUAGUAUGUUUUAUGAGGAAAUUGAUAUUCAGUUGCGGAGUUCCAGCUUGUUGGUAACUUUUUUUGAGUGUGAGCUUUGAAUGUUUAAUAAUUAGAGUUUUUGGUGUCACAGACCUUUCAAUAGACCAUGAACUUAAAGCGCAAAGGUUCUAUCUUUU